This 253-nucleotide ribosomal RNA is filed under the name uncultured bacterium. RNAcentral describes it as "partial 16S ribosomal RNA". It matches the Rfam family "Bacterial small subunit ribosomal RNA", at positions 524 to 776 of the family's 1533-position model. The record is from RNAcentral.
UACGUAGGGUGCAAGCGUUAAUCGGAAUUACUGGGCGUAAAGCGUGCGUAGACGGUUAUGUAAGUCGGAUGUGAAAGCCCCGGGCCUAACCUGGGAACUGCAUUCGAGACUGCAUAGCUAGGAUGCGGAAGAGGGAAGUGGAAUUUCCGGUGUAGCGGUGAAAUGCGUAGAUAUCGGAAGGAACAUCAGUGGCGAAAGCGACUUCCUGGUCCAGCAUCGACGUUCAGGCACGAAAGCGUGGGGAGCAAACAGG